UACGUAGGGUGCGAGCGUUAAUCGGAAUUACUGGGCGUAAAGCGUGCGCAGGUGGCCGCGCAAGUCGAGUGUGAAAUCCCCGAGCUUAACUUGGGAAUUGCGCUCGAAACUACGUGGCUCGAGUGUGGCAGAGGAAGGUGGAAUUCCACGUGUAGCGGUGAGAUGCGUAGAGAUGUGGAGGAACACCGAUGGCGAAGGCAGCCUUCUGGGCCAACACUGACGCUCAUGCACGAAAGCGAGGGGAGCGAACGGG
Molecule: ribosomal RNA, 253 nt
Filed under: uncultured bacterium
Lineage: Bacteria
Description: partial 16S ribosomal RNA
Rfam family: Bacterial small subunit ribosomal RNA
Source: RNAcentral